CUUGGGGCCUCAAUGGGGAAGCAUCACAAUGCAGGUGAUUGUGUCAAGUGCCAGGGAAAUCAGGAGAUAAGUUCAAAUGGGUAUAAACAUUUAUUGCAAGCUUAAGCUCUGAAUCUGAACUACUAACAGUCCAAGAAAAUUGGCAGUAGAUAAGAGUCAAAGGAAUUCAAGGUAAUUAGAGAGAUUUCCAUACUUGCAAUAUUCUACAAUGACCAUCAGAGGACCUGUAGACAGGAUCAAAACAAAGUUUAUGAAAUGAUAACACAUGGGAACAUUGUAGGAAUAAGCAAAAGCAAGUAAACAUCUCUCUUGCAAACACAGAAGAAAAUGGGCAAUGGAUAAAAGAAGAAGGAAUCCAGGGUCAGAAAACUGGGGCCAGGAAGUGAGAAACGAACACUGGCUACUGGCCAUAUUUUCUGUUUAAUGGGACAGACACCAGCUCUUACUCGCUGAUGGGUGUUUGUGCAGAUGUUACACCCCUCCCUGCUAUCCCUGUUAGCGAUCUAAGGUCUUACAGUUUGUCUCUCCAUCCUUCUGAACAUGCCUCCUUGCCCCACAAACAGCAGUUAUCUGAUUAAUUAGCACCAUUAGUUGCCAUCAAAGACAUCGCCGUUUCCAUUAAUCAAGAGACUAACGUCAGAGCUUGGCCCAGAUAUGAGAGCUAUUUAGCUUCAGCCAUUACCGACUUGGUUGCUGACUUUCCCACAUCAAACCAUGCUGAAGUCAAUCUGAAGAACCAAUACAAUGGAAUGUUAUGUAGAAAGAUGCACAGGUUAAGGAUCAUGGGUUCUUGAAACGAGGUGGUCAAUGAAAUGGUCAAAAAGAACAGGCUCUGCCUCUUUGGGGCACACCUGCAACAUCACAACGCACAUUCAGAAGGAUUGAUCCUUGCAUUGCAGUGGCACAAUGAAGUCUACAUUCAUUGGCAUCCUUCAGUCUCAAGAGACUAUGGUAUCGUGCUCUGGAAAGAGGUCCUAAAACAGCAUCUAG
Molecule: non-coding RNA, 990 nt
Organism: Pantherophis guttatus
Lineage: Eukaryota; Metazoa; Chordata; Lepidosauria; Squamata; Colubridae
Source: RefSeq, a predicted model, not a curated record